This 392-nucleotide ribosomal RNA is filed under the name uncultured bacterium. RNAcentral's name for it is "partial 16S ribosomal RNA". It matches the Rfam family "Bacterial small subunit ribosomal RNA", at positions 523 to 918 of the family's 1533-position model. The record is from RNAcentral.
AUACGGAGGAUCCGAGCGUUAUCCGGAUUUAUUGGGUUUAAAGGGUGCGCAGGCGGCCAUUUAAGUCAGCGGUUAAAUCGUGGGGCUCAACCCCAUUCUGCCGUUGAUACUGGGUGGCUUGAUUGCGGUCGAGGUUGGCGGAAUUCGUUGAGUAGCGGUGAAAUGCAUAGAUAUGACGAAGAACACCGAUUGCGUAGGCAGCUGACCAGACCGCAAAUGACGCUCAUGCACGAAAGUGCGGGGAUCGAACAGGAUUAGAUACCCUGGUAGUCCGCACAGUAAACGAUGAAUACUUGUUUUCGGCGAUAUAAUGUCGGAGGCAAAGCGAAAGCGAUAAGUAUUCCACCUGGGGAGUACGCCGGCAACGGUGAAACUCAAAGGAAUUGACGGGG